This 468-nucleotide ribosomal RNA is filed under the name uncultured bacterium. Its description in RNAcentral is "partial 16S ribosomal RNA". It matches the Rfam family "Bacterial small subunit ribosomal RNA", at positions 28 to 507 of the family's 1533-position model. The record is from RNAcentral.
GACGAACGCUGGCGGCGUGCUUAACACAUGCAAGUCGAACGGAAAGGCCCUGCUUUUGUGGGGUGCUCGAGUGGCGAACGGGUGAGUAACACGUGAGUAACCUGCCCUUGACUUUGGGAUAACUUCAGGAAACUGGGGCUAAUACCGGAUAGGAGCUCCUGCUGCAUGGUGGGGGUUGGAAAGUUUCGGCGGUUGGGGAUGGACGCGCGGCUUAUCAGCUUGUUGGUGGGGUAGUGGCUUACCAAGGCUUUGACGGGUAGCCGGCCUGAGAGGGUGAACGGCCACAUUGGGCCUGAGAUACGGCGCAGAGUCCUACGGGAGGCAGCAGGGGGGAAUAUUGCACAAUGGGCGGAAGCCUGAUGCAGCAACGCCGCGUGCGGGAUGACGGCCUUCGGGUUGUAAACCGCUGUCGCCUGUGACGAAGCGGGAGUGACGGUAAUGGGUAAAGAAGCACCGGCUAACUACGUG